ACCAACGGUUCGUUCUCAUUACUGCCUGGACACCUCUCUAUAUUAAGAGAUAGACGGCAUACCUUGCUAUCAUAUUGUCUUACUGUGCGCUUGGUGUCAGUAAUUCUAGGGAAGUGGAGAACAUUUGAAGAAAGGAGGGACUAGAUUCCAGACGAGUCGCAGAAAUACCUAAUUCGGAUGAACCAUGAAAGCGAAGUGGGACACAGUUGUCAACACCGCGAUUGUAGUCACGUGGAUAGGCUUUGUUAAAGCUACGUCACCCUGUUACCUCUCAACGGAGCAAGACGCAGUCUCUGGCGGGAGGAUUCGAUUCGUCGUGUCGCAGGGCGAUCCCUGUACCUGCGCUGCGCUCCGGCUGGGCGGCCAUGACACUCACCCACGGCCGGGACGGGACCCCACGGUGUACAUCGACGAUCUGUCGGCUCUCAGUGUCGAUGGAAUCCGCAGGUCGAUGAGAUGCACGCUUGAACUCAGUGCCGCACCAGGAGAUG
Acanthaster planci (crown-of-thorns starfish) is the source of this 491-nucleotide long non-coding RNA. The record is from RefSeq and is a predicted model, not a curated record. NCBI's taxonomy places the organism in Eukaryota, Metazoa, Echinodermata, Asteroidea, Valvatida, Acanthasteridae.